UGAGGAAUAUUGCUCAAUGGGCGAAAGUCUGAAGCAGCAACGCCGCGUGAGGGAUGAAGGUGCUCUGCAUUGUAAACCUCUGUAGUCGGGGAAAAACAAUGGGUUACUACCCAUUUGAUGGUACCCGAAAAGUAAGGAUCGGCUAACUACGUGCCAGCAGCCGCGGUAAUACGUAGGAUCCAAGCGUUGUCCGGAUUUACUGGGUGUAAAGGGUGCGCAGGCGGACUUGUUAGUCAGAGGUGAAAUCUCACGGCUCAACCGUGAAACUGCCUUUGAUACUGCAGGUCUUGAAUUGGGGAGAGAGUUGUGGAAUUCCGAGUGUAGCAGUGAAAUGUGUAGAUAUUCGGAAGAACACCAGUGGCGAAGGCAGCAACUUGGCCCUAUAUUGACGCUCAGGCACGAAAAGCAUGGGGAUCAAAACA
This 422-nucleotide ribosomal RNA is filed under the name uncultured bacterium. Its description in RNAcentral is "bacterial SSU rRNA". It matches the Rfam family "Bacterial small subunit ribosomal RNA", at positions 355 to 775 of the family's 1533-position model. The record is from RNAcentral.